GACGAACGCUGGCGGCGUGCUUAACACAUGCAAGUCGAACGGAAAGGCCCUGCUUUUGUGGGGUGCUCGAGUGGCGAACGGGUGAGUAACACGUGAGUAACCUGCCCUUGACUUUGGGAUAACUUCAGGAAACUGGGGCUAAUACCGGAUAGGAGCUCCUGCUGCAUGGUGGGGGUUGGAAAGUUUCGGCGGUUGGGGAUGGACUCGCGGCUUAUCCGCUUGUUGGUGGGGUAGUGGCUUACCAAGGCUUUGACGGGUAGCCGGCCUGGGAGGGUGACCGGCCACAUUGGGACUGAGAUACGGCCCAGACUCCUACGGGAGGCAGCAGUGGGGAAUAUUGCACAAUGGGCGGAAGCCUGAUGCAGCAACGCCGGGUGCGGGAUGACGGCCUUCGGGUUGUAAACCGCUUCCGCCUGUGACGAAGCGUGAGUGACGGUAAUGGGUAAAGAAGCACCGGCUAACUACGUG
Molecule: ribosomal RNA, 468 nt
Filed under: uncultured bacterium
Lineage: Bacteria
Description: partial 16S ribosomal RNA
Rfam family: Bacterial small subunit ribosomal RNA
Source: RNAcentral